RNAcentral lists this ribosomal RNA (519 nucleotides) under uncultured Gammaproteobacteria bacterium. Its description in RNAcentral is "bacterial SSU rRNA". It matches the Rfam family "Bacterial small subunit ribosomal RNA", at positions 10 to 524 of the family's 1533-position model. The record is from RNAcentral. Lineage: Bacteria; Pseudomonadati; Pseudomonadota; Gammaproteobacteria.
GGUUUGAUCAUGGCUCAGAUUGAACGCUGGCGGCGUGCUUAACACAUGCAAGUCGAGCGGCAGCGCGGUAGCAAUACUGGCGGCGAGCGGCGAACGGGUGAGUAAUGCUUCGGAAUCUUCCUCGUAGUGGGGAAUAACCUGGGGAAACUCAGGCUAAUACCGCAUACGAACUACGGUUGAAAGCAGGGGAUCGCAAGACCUUGCGCUAUGAGAUGAGCCGAAGUCGGAUUAGCUAGUUGGUAGGGUAACGGCCUACCAAGGCGACGAUCCGUAGCUGGUCUGAGAGGACGACCAGCCACACUGGGACUGAGACACGGCCCAGACUCCUACGGGAGGCAGCAGUGGGGAAUAUUGGACAAUGGGGGCAACCCUGAUCUAGCGACGCCGCGUGUGUGAAGAAGGCCUGCGGGUUGUAAAGCACUUUUAGUGGGGAUGAAAAGCCGAAGGCUAAUACCUUUCGGUCUUGACCUAACCCAAAGAAAAGACACCGGCUAACUCUGUGCCAGCCGCCGCCGUAAC